GCAGGUUUCAGAUGCUUUCUUUGGAUAUUAGUAAUAACACUCUCACAUAACUGUUAUUUAUGCUGAAUUUAUGAUUAAACUUUAUGGCAGGAACUGAUAUUAAUUGUGGAACAUAUAUGCUGAGGCACACUAAAGCUGCAAUCGAGCAAGGGAAGGUUUCAGAGAGAGACAUAGAUAGAGCAUUGCUCUAUCUGUUUUCUGUUCAACUCCAACUUGGGCUUUUUGAUGGAGCUCCUGGUAGAAAUCGAUACUGGAACUUUGGACCUCGAGAUGUAUGCUCUUCAGAGCACAAGAAUUUGGCUCUUGAAGCAGCAAGGCAGGGUAUUGUGCUUCUAAAGAAUGACAAGAAAUUCCUGCCAUUACAUAAACACAGUAUCUCUUCACUAGCCAUUAUCGGUCCUAUGUCGAAUUCAACCAAUUUGGGCGGUGGCUAUGUAGGUAUGGAUAUUUUACAUUUACAGAGUUUUAUUUAAUGAGAACUUAUAUUUAAAUACAAUUUAUGGUUUUUUUGUCAUCAUAGGCUUACCAUGUGGACAUUUUUCAUAAAUGAGUUCGGCGAGACAUGACCUCAUAUUUUUGUUAGCUUUGAGACCAUAUUGAAUCAGCUGAUUUUGAAGCUUAGGUGGGGACAAAUUUUGUUAUUUAAAUCAUUUUCAUUAUAGGUUUGACAAGUGGACAUCUUUCAUAUGUAUAUCUACAGUUUUGUUAGGUCUGAGAACAUGUUGAAUUAAUCUCAUUUAAAGCAUAAAUUGUUAGAGGGGACAAAUUUAUUUAUUUAAAAUGUCUACAACAUCCACGAACAUCUAAUUUAACUUAUGAAUGAAGGCAAAUUAAAUCCAAAAUGUGAUGUUGUCAAUGAUUUCUCGGGAAAUAUUUGAAUGAAGCUACUUUUCCAUCAAACACCGUCACCCGUGAAAAAGCUUUUAUAUUUCCAAGACCUUCGAAAGGUCAUGUCCUCGACAUAGUUUUUUUUUAUUGUAAAUCUAUUUGUACUGAGAAGAAAUAGUACACAAUUGAAAAUCAAGACUAUUGUAAGAUUCUCCUAAGUCCUAGGUAAUAUGCUUAUGCAAAUUGGCUGUUUGGAAUUUUAUCCCUUUUGUAGGAGUUCCAUGUGAACAAAAAAGCAUUCUUCAAGGAUUCCAAGAACAUGUAGAGAACACGUAUUAUGCUGCGGGAUGCAAAGAUAUACCUUGUAAUUCAAGCUCCAGUUUUGCAGAAGCUCUGUCCAUUGCUACAGAAGCCGAAUAUGUAAUUGUUGUGGCUGGACUGGAUUUAUCACAAGAAGCGGAGGACCUUGACCGGUAUAGUCUUCUCUUGCCAGGGUAUCAGACGGAACUCAUUAAUUCUGUUGCUGCCUCAAGUAAGAAACCACUGAUUUUAGUUCUUACCGGUGGUGGACCAAUUGACGUAUCCUUUGCCAAGGGAGACCUGCGUAUUGCUAGCAUUCUUUGGAUUGGUUACCCUGGAGAGACUGGUGGAAGAGCACUUUCGGAUAUUAUCUUUGGACACCAUAAUCCAGGUUCGUAAAUGCGACUUCCAGAUCCUGGAUUAGAAUCAUGAUACACUAGAUAAUGAUGCAAUUUUUGAAUGAAAACAGGCGGAAGACUACCCAUGACUUGGUAUCCUGAGUCGUUUACCAAUGUACCAAUGAGCGACAUGAACAUGCGAGCUGAUUCUUCUCAAAAUUACCCGGGAAGAACCUAUCGGUUUUACAUUGGAGAUCGACUCUACAAAUUUGGAUAUGGAUUAAGCUACGCAAGUUUUACAUACAAAAUUCUAGCAGCUCCUAGCAAACUGAGUUUACAAGGUUUUAUCAAGGCUGGACCACGAAGGACCAUGCUUUCUGAUAGAAGCAGUGCUCUUGACUAUAUUCUUGUUGAUGAGGUGGAAUAUUGCAACUCAUUGAGGUUCAACGUGCAAAUUUCUGUGACAAAUGAUGGAGACGUGGAUGGAAGCCAAGUUGCUCUGUUAUUUUCGAGAACGUCAAAAUCUUUCAAGGGUUCUCCCGAAAGACAGCUUAUUGGUUUUGAACGUGUCCACACACUAUCCUAUAAAACUGUUGAAAUGAGCUUUCUGGUAUACCCGUGUGAACAUCUUAGCAUUGCAGAUGAGCACGGAAAUAGAAUAUUGCCUUUGGGUGAUCAUAUUCUAAUAUUAGAAGACAAGGAGCAUGUUCUUUCAAUUGAAAUGUGACAAAAUCUAAAUUCAGUCCAGCACUCAAAUUGGAUUUUCAUUAGAGAGUUUCUUUGUGAAUUCAUCUUAAUCCGGGUUCUGGACAGUGCAGUUUCCUUUGAUGCAACACUUCGAUCAUAAAAAUCGGUAGCUCUACAGCAUUAAAUAUUUUCUGUCAGGUAACUUGUGCUUUUAUUCUGAUGGAUAUAGAGUUUGUGUCUCAUGUGAGUGAAAGGGUGAGAUCAUCAUAAUGUAUAAGAUGACUGUACAACACAUUCUACAAACCACAAAUUGAUUAUCUAUUCUAAUUUCACAAGAAUAUUUAACAACUUUUAUUAAUAACUCGU
RNAcentral lists this long non-coding RNA (2519 nucleotides) under Olea europaea subsp. europaea. Lineage: Eukaryota; Viridiplantae; Streptophyta; Magnoliopsida; Lamiales; Oleaceae. The record is from RNAcentral.